GGGGAUUUAGCUCAGUGGUAGAGCGCUUGCCUAGCAAGCACAAGGCCCUGGGUUCGAUCCACAGCUCCG
Molecule: non-coding RNA, 69 nt
Organism: Rattus norvegicus (Norway rat)
Lineage: Eukaryota; Metazoa; Chordata; Mammalia; Rodentia; Muridae
Source: Rfam